AGAGUUUGAUCAUGGCUCAGAAUCAACGCUGGCGGCGUGCCUAACACAUGCAAGUCGAACGCGAAAGUGGAGCAAUCCAUGAGUAGAGUGGCAAACGGGUGAGUAACACGUGGGUGACCUGCCUUCGAGCGGGGGAUAACGUCCCGAAAGGGACGCUAAUACCGCAUAACAUCCUGCCUUUUAAGAGGUGGAGAUCAAAGCCGGGGAUCGCAAGACCUGGCACUUGAAGAGGGGCCCGCGCCUGAUUAGCUAGUUGGUGGGGUAAUGGCUCACCAAGGCAACGAUCAGUAUCCGGCCUGAGAGGGCGGACGGACACACUGGGACUGAGACACGGCCCAGACUCCUACGGGAGGCAGCAGAGGGGAAUUGUUCGCAAUGGGCGCAAGCCUGACGACGCAACGCCGCGUGGAGGAUGAAGAUCUUCGGGUCGUAAACUCCUUUCGAUCGAGACGAAUGGUUUCCGGGUGAACAAUCCGGGAAAAUGACGGUACCGAGAGAAGAAGCCCCGGCUAACUCCGUGCCAGCAGCCGCGGUAAUACGGGGGGGGCAAGCGUUGUUCGGAAUUACUGGGCGUAAAGGGCUCGUAGGUGGCCAACUAAGUCAGACGUGAAAUCCCUCAGCUUAACUGGGGAACUGCGUCUGAUACUGGAUGGCUUGAGUUUGGGAGAGGGAUGCGGAAUUCCAGGUGUAGCGGUGAAAUGCGUAGAUAUCUGGAGGAACACCGGUGGCGAAGGCGGCAUCCUGGACCAACACUGACACUGAGGAGCGAAAGCCAGGGGAGCAAACGGGAUUAGAUACCCCAGUAGUCC
This 809-nucleotide ribosomal RNA is filed under the name uncultured bacterium. RNAcentral's name for it is "bacterial SSU rRNA". It matches the Rfam family "Bacterial small subunit ribosomal RNA", at positions 8 to 796 of the family's 1533-position model. The record is from RNAcentral.